GUGCUCGCUUCGGCAGCUCAUAUACUAAAAUUGGAAAGAUACAGAGAUUACCAUGGCCCCUGAGCAAGGAUGACAUAAAAAUUUUUGAAGCAUUCCAUAUUGUA
Molecule: small nuclear RNA, 104 nt
Organism: Callithrix jacchus (white-tufted-ear marmoset)
Lineage: Eukaryota; Metazoa; Chordata; Mammalia; Primates; Cebidae
Source: Ensembl